AUCUGCUGUAGAAGCUCGAACGAAAACUGUCUGUUGGAGAAGUCCGACAGCAGUUCGAUUGCUGGAGAAGUCCGUCUGAAAUUUGUAUGAUGUAGAAGCUUGUCUGAGGGCUAUCCACUGGAGAGGUCCGGUUGCAUGAGGAAUCCGACAGAAGGUCGACUUGAUAGCAAAAUUUGGAAGGCGUUGGUGCUGUUGAAAGUGGAUGGCUC
This 209-nucleotide long non-coding RNA is filed under the name Elaeis guineensis (African oil palm). RNAcentral describes it as "long non-coding RNA (EGUI_LNC009875)". The record is from RNAcentral. Lineage: Eukaryota; Viridiplantae; Streptophyta; Magnoliopsida; Arecales; Arecaceae.